UUCGUGUGAACAGUGGUUGAUCACGAGUUAGUCGGUCCUAAGUUCAAGGCGAAAGCCGAAAAUUUUCAAGUAAAAAAUGACUAUCAAUAUAUAUUUGUAAUUUUAUAAAACACUUGAAUAAUUUUGAACGAAAGGGAAUACGGUUCCAAUUCCGUAACCUGUUGAGUAUCCGUUUGUUAUUAAAUAUGGGCCUCGUGCUCAUCCUGGCAACAGGAACGACCAUAAAGAAGCCGUCGAGAGAUAUCGGAAGAGUUUUCUUUUCUGUUUUAUAGCCGUACUACCAUGGAAGUCUUUCGCAGAGAGAUAUGGUAGAUGGGCUAGAAGAGCAUGACAUAUACUGUUGUGUCGAUAUUUUCUCCUCGGACCUUGAAAAUUUAUGGUGGGGAUACGCAAACUUCUCAACAGGCCGUACCAAUAUCCGCAGCUGGUCUCCAAGGUGAAGAGUCUCUAGUCGAUAGAAUA
This 462-nucleotide ribosomal RNA is filed under the name Dichaetophora agbo group sp. HM6. RNAcentral's name for it is "partial 28S ribosomal RNA". It matches the Rfam family "Eukaryotic large subunit ribosomal RNA", at positions 1508 to 1897 of the family's 3401-position model. The record is from RNAcentral. Lineage: Eukaryota; Metazoa; Arthropoda; Insecta; Diptera; Drosophilidae.